Molecule: small nucleolar RNA, 75 nt
Organism: Pipistrellus kuhlii (Kuhl's pipistrelle)
Lineage: Eukaryota; Metazoa; Chordata; Mammalia; Chiroptera; Vespertilionidae
Product: small nucleolar RNA SNORD113/SNORD114 family
Exons: 1
Source: RefSeq, a predicted model, not a curated record
UGGACCGGUGAUGACAUGGCCUGGAAUAAGAGUCACGGAGAUGAUGAUUACGAUGUCUGCAACUCUGAGGUCCAC